This 71-nucleotide transfer RNA is filed under the name Ichthyscopus pollicaris. Its description in RNAcentral is "tRNA-His". It matches the Rfam family "tRNA". From Rfam's summary of the family: Transfer RNA (tRNA) molecules are approximately 80 nucleotides in length. Their secondary structure includes four short double-helical elements and three loops (D, anti-codon, and T loops). Lineage: Eukaryota; Metazoa; Chordata; Actinopteri; Uranoscopiformes; Uranoscopidae. The record is from RNAcentral.
GUAGAUAUAGUUUAACAAAAAAACGUUAGAUUGUGAUUCUAAAAAUAAAGGUUAAAAUCCUUUUAUCAACC